Molecule: transfer RNA, 67 nt
Filed under: Ocypode cordimanus
Lineage: Eukaryota; Metazoa; Arthropoda; Malacostraca; Decapoda; Ocypodidae
Description: tRNA-Leu
Source: RNAcentral
ACUGUCUUGGCAGAUAAGAUGUAUGGGAUUUAGGAUCCUAGGAAAUAGAUUAAUUCUAUAGAUAGUA